CGGGACGUAGCGCAGCCCGGUAGCGCACUUGUAUGGGGUGCAAGUGGUCGCUGGUUCGAAUCCAGUCGUCCCGA
This 74-nucleotide transfer RNA is filed under the name Chitinophagaceae bacterium. Its description in RNAcentral is "tRNA-Pro". It matches the Rfam family "tRNA". Rfam says of the family: Transfer RNA (tRNA) molecules are approximately 80 nucleotides in length. Their secondary structure includes four short double-helical elements and three loops (D, anti-codon, and T loops). The record is from RNAcentral. Lineage: Bacteria; Pseudomonadati; Bacteroidota; Chitinophagia; Chitinophagales; Chitinophagaceae.